Camelus dromedarius (Arabian camel) is the source of this 467-nucleotide long non-coding RNA. RefSeq lists it as uncharacterized. NCBI's taxonomy places the organism in Eukaryota, Metazoa, Chordata, Mammalia, Artiodactyla, Camelidae. The record is from RefSeq and is a predicted model, not a curated record. The transcript has 3 exons.
AGCUGAGCGCUGACGGAGGCUCGAGGCCUGGCAGCCGGGAGAGGUGGAUACCCAGCCACCGGGGAGGGAGAAAAAAGAAGCGCACACCUUUUAGAAUACAUUUUGGGGUAGAUAUACAGUUUGAAAUAGUAGGGCGAAGUAUAGUCAUCCCUUGGUAUCCGCGGGCAUCGAUCUCGGGACCCUCCGCAGAUACAGAAGACCAGUAUAUCCCACUGGGCACAGAUGGAAGAAUAUCCCUGCCCCAGCUUCACAAUGAAACCAAAGUUUCAGUGCCUGACACCUGCAGCAGCUGAUAGAACAAUUAAGAACCAUUGCAUAAUUCUGCCCUCACUCAGCCUAGGCCAUGGGAGGAACAGAGCUGCAAUGAAAUCAUCACCAAAAUGUAAGGCAAGCAAGAAACAAAAUUUUGUUUUGGUAAACACUGUACGUUUGGAGUACUUUGUUAUUUCAUCGUGACCUAGUGAACA